GGGUUGUGAGGUUAAGCGACUAAGCGUACACGGUGGAUGCCCUGGCAGUCAGAGGCGAUGAAGGGCGUGCUAAUCUGCGAUAAGCGCCGGUAAGGUGAUAUGAACCGUUAUAACCGGCGAUACCCGAAUGGGGAAACCCAGUGUGAUUCGUCACACUAUCAUUAACUGAAUCCAUAGGUUAAUGAGGCGAACCGGGGGAACUGAAACAUCUAAGUACCCCGAGGAAAAGAAAUCAACCGAGAUUCCCCCAGUAGCGGCGAGCGAACGGGGAGGAGCCCAGAGCCUGAAUCAGCAUGUGUGUUAGUGGAAGCGUCUGGAAAGGCGCGCGAUACAGGGUGACAGCCCCGUACACAAAAGCGCAUGUGCUGUGAGCUCGAUGAGUAGGGCGGGACACGUGGUAUCCUGUCUGAAUAUGGGGGGACCAUCCUCCAAGGCUAAAUACUCCUGACUGACCGAUAGUGAACCAGUACCGUGAGGGAAAGGCGAAAAGAACCCCGGCGAGGGGAGUGAAAAAGAACCUGAAACCGUGUACGUACAAGCAGUGGGAGCACAGGUUUACCUGUGUGACUGCGUACCUUUUGUAUAAUGGGUCAGCGACUUAUAUUCUGUAGCAAGGUUAACCGAAUAGGGGAGCCGGAGGGAAACCGAGUCUUAAUUGGGCGUUAAGUUGCAGGGUAUAGACCCGAAACCCGGUGAUCUAGCCAUGGGCAGGUUGAAGGUUGGGUAACACUAACUGGAGGACCGAACCGACUAAUGUUGAAAAAUUAGCGGAUGACCUGUGGCUGGGGGUGAAAGGCCAAUCAAACCGGGAGAUAGCUGGUUCUCCCCGAAAGCUAUUUAGGUAGCGCCUCGUGAAUUCAUCUCCGGGGGUAGAGCACUGUUUCGGCUAGGGGGCCAUCCCGGCUUACCAACCCGAUGCAAACUGCGAAUACCGGAGAAUGUUAUCACGGGAGACACACGGCGGGUGCUAACGUCCGUCGUGAAGAGGGAAACAACCCAGACCGCCAGCUAAGGUCCCAAAGUCAUGGUUAAGUGGGAAACGAUGUGGGAAGGCCCAGACAGCCAGGAUGUUGGCUUAGAAGCAGCCAUCAUUUAAAGAAAGCGUAAUAGCUCACUGGUCGAGUCGGCCUGCGCGGAAGAUGUAACGGGGCUAAACCAUGCACCGAAGCUGCGGCAGCGACGCUUAUGCGUUGUUGGGUAGGGGAGCGUUCUGUAAGCCUGUGAAGGUGGCCUGUGAGGGUUGCUGGAGGUAUCAGAAGUGCGAAUGCUGACAUAAGUAACGAUAAAGCGGGUGAAAAGCCCGCUCGCCGGAAGACCAAGGGUUCCUGUCCAACGUUAAUCGGGGCAGGGUGAGUCGACCCCUAAGGCGAGGCCGAAAGGCGUAGUCGAUGGGAAACGGGUUAAUAUUCCCGUACUUGGUGUUACUGCGAAGGGGGGACGGAGAAGGCUAUGUUGGCCGGGCGACGGUUGUCCCGGUUUAAGCGUGUAGGUGUGUGUUCCAGGUAAAUCCGGUUCACUUUAACACUGAGGCGUGAUGACGAGGCACUACGGUGCUGAAGUAACAAAUGCCCUGCUUCCAGGAAAAGCCUCUAAGCAUCAGGUAACAUCAAAUCGUACCCCAAACCGACACAGGUGGUCAGGUAGAGAAUACCAAGGCGCUUGAGAGAACUCGGGUGAAGGAACUAGGCAAAAUGGUGCCGUAACUUCGGGAGAAGGCACGCUGACACGUAGGUGAAGUGAUUUACUCAUGGAGCUGAAGUCAGUCGAAGAUACCAGCUGGCUGCAACUGUUUAUUAAAAACACAGCACUGUGCAAACACGAAAGUGGACGUAUACGGUGUGACGCCUGCCCGGUGCCGGAAGGUUAAUUGAUGGGGUCAGCGCAAGCGAAGCUCCUGAUCGAAGCCCCGGUAAACGGCGGCCGUAACUAUAACGGUCCUAAGGUAGCGAAAUUCCUUGUCGGGUAAGUUCCGACCUGCACGAAUGGCGUAAUGAUGGCCAGGCUGUCUCCACCCGAGACUCAGUGAAAUUGAACUCGCUGUGAAGAUGCAGUGUACCCGCGGCAAGACGGAAAGACCCCGUGAACCUUUACUAUAGCUUGACACUGAACAUUGAGCCUUGAUGUGUAGGAUAGGUGGGAGGCUUUGAAGUGUGGACGCCAGUCUGCAUGGAGCCGACCUUGAAAUACCACCCUUUAAUGUUUGAUGUUCUAACGUGGACCCGUGAUCCGGGUUGCGGACAGUGUCUGGUGGGUAGUUUGACUGGGGCGGUCUCCUCCUAAAGAGUAACGGAGGAGCACGAAGGUUGGCUAAUCCUGGUCGGACAUCAGGAGGUUAGUGCAAUGGCAUAAGCCAGCUUGACUGCGAGCGUGACGGCGCGAGCAGGUGCGAAAGCAGGUCAUAGUGAUCCGGUGGUUCUGAAUGGAAGGGCCAUCGCUCAACGGAUAAAAGGUACUCCGGGGAUAACAGGCUGAUACCGCCCAAGAGUUCAUAUCGACGGCGGUGUUUGGCACCUCGAUGUCGGCUCAUCACAUCCUGGGGCUGAAGUAGGUCCCAAGGGUAUGGCUGUUCGCCAUUUAAAGUGGUACGCGAGCUGGGUUUAGAACGUCGUGAGACAGUUCGGUCCCUAUCUGCCGUGGGCGCUGGAGAACUGAGGGGGGCUGCUCCUAGUACGAGAGGACCGGAGUGGACGCAUCACUGGUGUUCGGGUUGUCAUGCCAAUGGCACUGCCCGGUAGCUAAAUGCGGAAGAGAUAAGUGCUGAAAGCAUCUAAGCACGAAACUUGCCCCGAGAUGAGUUCUCCCUGAGACUU
Molecule: ribosomal RNA, 2810 nt
Filed under: Salmonella enterica subsp. enterica serovar Dublin
Lineage: Bacteria; Pseudomonadati; Pseudomonadota; Gammaproteobacteria; Enterobacterales; Enterobacteriaceae
Description: bacterial LSU rRNA
Rfam family: Bacterial large subunit ribosomal RNA
Source: RNAcentral